GGUAAGGGGACCUGCGGAGGGAUCAUUACACAAUACAAUAUGAAGGCUGUCCGCAGCUGGAGUAUUUUAUUACCCUUGUCUUUUGCGCACUUGUUGUUUCCUGGGCGGGUUCGCUCGCCACCAGGACCACCAAAUAAACCUUUUUUAUGCAGUUGCAAUCAGCGUCAGUACAAACAAUGUAAAUCAUUUACAACUUUCAACAACGGAUCUCUUGGUUCUGGCAUCGAUGAAGAACGCAGCGAAAUGCGAUACGUAGUGUGAAUUGCAGAAUUCAGUGAAUCAUCGAAUCUUUGAACGCACAUUGCGCCCUUUGGUAUUCCAAAGGGCAUGCCUGUUCGAGCGUCAUUUGUACCCUCAAGCUUUGCUUGGUGUUGGGCGUUUUUGUCUUUGGUCGCCCAAAGACUCGCCUUAAAGUGAUUGGCAGCCGGCCUUUCUGGUUUCGCAGCGCAGCACAUUUUUGCGCUUGCCAUCAGCAAAACGGCAAUCCAUCAAGCCUCCUUCUCACGUUUGACCUCGGAUCAGGUAGGGAUACCCGCUGAACUUAAGCAUAUCAAAGCGGGGA
Molecule: ribosomal RNA, 562 nt
Filed under: Curvularia geniculata
Lineage: Eukaryota; Fungi; Ascomycota; Dothideomycetes; Pleosporales; Pleosporaceae
Description: eukaryotic LSU rRNA
Rfam family: 5.8S ribosomal RNA (bases 192-345)
Source: RNAcentral